GUCUAUGGCCAUGCCACCCUGAACGCGCCCGAUCUCGUCUGAUCUCAGAAGCUAAGCAGGGUCGGGCCUGGUUAGUACUUGGAUGGGAGACCACCUAGGAAGACCAGGUGCUGUAGGUG
This 119-nucleotide ribosomal RNA is filed under the name Pteropus alecto (black flying fox). Lineage: Eukaryota; Metazoa; Chordata; Mammalia; Chiroptera; Pteropodidae. The record is from RNAcentral.